RNAcentral lists this transfer RNA (76 nucleotides) under Virgibacillus pantothenticus. Its description in RNAcentral is "tRNA-Phe". It matches the Rfam family "tRNA". Rfam says of the family: Transfer RNA (tRNA) molecules are approximately 80 nucleotides in length. Their secondary structure includes four short double-helical elements and three loops (D, anti-codon, and T loops). Further hydrogen bonds mediate the characteristic L-shaped molecular structure. tRNAs have two regions of fundamental functional importance: the anti-codon, which is responsible for specific mRNA codon recognition, and the 3' end, to which the tRNAs corresponding amino acid is attached (by aminoacyl-tRNA synthetases). tRNAs cope with the degeneracy of the genetic code in two manners: having more than one tRNA (with a specific anti-codon) for a particular amino acid; and 'wobble' base-pairing, i.e. permitting non-standard base-pairing at the 3rd anti-codon position. Lineage: Bacteria; Bacillati; Bacillota; Bacilli; Caryophanales; Bacillaceae. The record is from RNAcentral. RNAcentral also lists the same sequence under 9 other names.
GGCUCGAUAGCUCAGUCGGUAGAGCAAGGGACUGAAAAUCCCUGUGUCGGCGGUUCGAUUCCGUCUCGAGCCACCA